RNAcentral lists this ribosomal RNA (512 nucleotides) under Dicranomyia swezeyi. RNAcentral's name for it is "partial 16S ribosomal RNA". It matches the Rfam family "Bacterial large subunit ribosomal RNA", at positions 1819 to 2597 of the family's 2925-position model. The record is from RNAcentral. Lineage: Eukaryota; Metazoa; Arthropoda; Insecta; Diptera; Limoniidae.
GUCUUUUUGAAAUAAAUUUAAAGUCUGACCUGCCCACUGANAAAUUUUAAAGGGCCGCGGUAUUUUGACCGUGCAAAGGUAGCAUAAUCAUUAGUUUUUUAAUUGGAAGCUUGUAUGAAUGGUUGGACGAAAUAUUUACUGUCUCAUAAAAAUUUGUAUUAGAAAUUAAUUUUUUUGUUAAAAAGCAAAAAUGAUAUUAGAGGACGAGAAGACCCUAUAGAGCUUUAUAAUUUUAUUAUUUAAUUUUUUAAGGAAAUUUUAAAUUUUAUAAGAAUAAUUAUUUUGUUGGGGUGACAAUAAAAUUUAUAAAACUUUUAUUAUAAAUGUUACAUUGAUUAAUGAAUAUUUGAUCCAUUAUUAAUGAUUAAAAAAUUAAGUUACCUUAGGGAUAACAGCGUAAUUUUUUUUAAGAGUUCAUAUCGACAAAAAAGAUUGCGACCUCGAUGUUGGAUUAAGAGUUAUUUUUAGGUGUAGAAGUUUAAAAUUUAGGUCUGUUCGACCUUUGAAUUCUU